UUUCUCAUCAUCAGAACUGUUGAGUUGUACGGGUUUUGUGUUUUGUCUGCAUUAACGCAUGUGCACAAAUAAAAGACCUGCCACCGAAACAGGUUUAUUUACGAAAUAGUGGUUAGCAGAAUAACUUAUUAAAACAUUGAAAACUCUUGUUAGUAGUCAGUUUCCAGGGAUAGUAUUCAGGAAGCCCUGGGCAGGGGAAUUGAUCACUUAGUAAAUUUGUUGUUAAAGCCAAACCAAACCCUAACUGGAGAACUUUGAGAUAUUACGGCUCUGACCCCACUGUUCCUGUGUUAGUUCUGCUAACAACAUGCGGCUGUUGAGCACUGUUGAAGGGAUAGUAUAUGGGUUUCAAUAUAUUUUGAUACAUUGGCUAAAUAGAAUAAUUAUCAUUAAUUUCACCUGUUUCUUUUUACUUUUUAACAUGUGUUUACUAGAAAAAUGUAAGUGAUAUAGGUGUCUCACAUUGUAUUUCUACGGAUGGGGCUGGUCUCAUUCUGUGUGUCUGAAACUCCAUUACUGGUGCCUUACUGGCUUUACUGGAAGUCUUCAGACAGGUUGUUUGGGUUUCCCACGGGACUGGGCAGGGCUUCUAAUUUUUUUUUUUUAAGUUGAACAAAACUCUGAAACAUAAUGAAUCAAAGUUACAGAUCAUUCUCUAUAUAGUCAAUGGGAGUUAGGAAAGUGGAACCCCUUGGAGCCAGAACAAGUUAAACAGCAAAACAAGUUCUCUGCUUUGAGCAAAGUAUUUCCCCCAAAGGUAUUUCUUUUCUAAGAAUUUGUCCAUUUCUUCUAGGCUUUCCGUUUUAUUUGCAUAGAUUUGCAUGUAGUAGUCUCUUAUGAUCCUUUGUGUUUCUGUGAUGUCUGGUAUAACUUCUCCUUUUUCAUUUCUAAUUUUAUUGAUUCGAAUCCUCUCUUUUUUUUUCUUGAUAAGUCUGGCUAAGGGUUCAUCAAUUUUGUUGAUCUUUUCAGAAAACCAGCUUUUUGUUUCAUUGAUCUUUUCUGUGGUUUUCUUCAUUUCUAUUUCAUUGAUUUCUGCUCUGAUCUUUAUGAUUUCUUUCCUUCUGCUAACUUUAGAUCUUGUUUGUUCUCUCUGUAGCUGCUAUAGACAAAGGUUAUUUCUUAUAGCCCUACUUCUGCCCCUCAUAACUGAGCAACUGCCAUGGAUAUCUUUAGCUUCAGGCUUCAUCACAUUGGUAUCUAGAAAGAGAAAUAGUCCUUUCUCCUCCUUUGGACUACAAGUCGUACUUGGCACACCUUUCUAGGAGAAAGAGUAGCUGCUGGAAUUUGUAAUGGCCUACUGUUUGUGCCUCCAGCAUGUUGGAACAUGCAAUGAUGUGUCAGCUUUGGUGUCAUCCUUAACAGUGAACAUUUGUGAGAAUAACUCAUAGUUGAGGAUAAUUUAUUGAUAAGGGUAUCCCGAAAAACUCGGACAAUCAAUACUGAUGCUUCGGAAUUCCCUUCGUGGCUUAGCAGUUAACCGUGAGCUGUGGUGUAGGAUCUGAGCCACGUCUGUGACCUACACCACGGCUCACGGCAGCACUGGAUCCUUAACCCACUGAGCGAGGCGGGGGAUGGAAUACGAGUUGGGCUUAUUACCCCUGAGCCAUGAUGGGAACUCUGGAUUCUGCACUUCUAACAAGUUCCUGGAUGAUGGUGCGGCAUCUGCUCCAGCUUGGCCCUGGAGUGGGUGGUGGGGCUGACUGUGAUCCCAAUUCACUUGUCAAUUUCAUUUUUUUAAAUCCAAUAAUAACCAAUUAUUAUUUUCUAUUGCUUUGCAUUCAACUUCAGAACAAUUUUGUUUUCAUUUUUCAUCUUAAAUUGACAGGGCUCUUACUGCUUUCCCAUCCCUGGUCUCUCUGUCUGGUGCUUAAAUAAUGCCUUUUUAAGAAAACAAAAUAAGACCAACAAUGACUAAUAUUUAUAUAAAGGUUUCUAUGUGCCAGGAACUGUUUACUGAAAUUCUUGCGACACCUGGUAAGGUAGGCGUGUUAAUUAUCCACAUCUUACAGGUGAGAAAGCUGCGGCAGGUAAAGCUAAAAUAACUUCCUUAGAUGCUCACAUAGUGCAUGGGAACUAGGAUUAUUUUAGGAGUCUAUUUAAAGGAGCCUUUUGUAAAUCAGAGACCCUGGGGAGAGCUGGAACAGUCCAGUCUAAGGUAUAAGUUUUUGUUACUCAUCAUUUGGUUUCAUCAUUUUUUACGAAAUGGGGACCCCACCCUCCUAGAGGCAGCAAUGGUGGUAUUUAUGCAGAAUGCAACCCCAGACUAACUGUGGAGGCUGGUUAAGUCUGGUAUCAUGAUGAGUACCUAGCAUGACCCUGGGGCAAGACCUCAGACAGGGAGCUCAGCUGUGGUUUGCAAAGGAACAAAGAUCCCAGCAAGCAGGACAGAUCCUGCUUCCAUUCUGAUUUGAGUGUAAAUUCAACUUUUGUCAAGCAAAGAUUUUUAAAUUGAUUUAUGGUCAACUUCGGAAGGUUUUUAUUUUUCGUUGUAAAUUGGCAAGGCCCUUGCUACUUUUCUGCCCCCAGUCUCUCAAUCUAGCACUUUAAAAUGUUGAGGGUAUUUCUCACUGUGGCGCGGUGGGAUUGGCGGCGUCACUGCAGCGCUAGAAUGCGGGUUUGAUCCCUGGUCUAGUACAGUAGUUUAAAGGAGCUGAUGUUGUUGCAGCUGCCAUGUAGGUCACAACUGUGGCUCGGAUCUGAUCCCUGGCCCAGGAACUCCAUAUGCUGUGGGGUGGCCAGAAAAAAGAAAAGAAAAGAAAUGAAACAAACAAAAAUGUUAAGAGUAGGAAUAAGACCACUGGAGCACCUGCAAGCCUGCCUUGUGGGUUGUGGGCUGUUCUGAAAGAGCUGUUGUAGAUGGACCUGAACAUGUCCUGCAUGAGGCCAGGGGACGUGGUCUUCAGGAGCUGUGGCUGCCACAUCUUGUGGAAGUGCUCAUACGUUGCUCAGAGCCCAUGGUCAGUUGUAAAGCUGUCUUACUCUGGGACCUAGGACUAGCCACUAACCAUCCCUAGUCUUCAUUUUCGUCUUUUCUAAAAUGAAAGGAUUUGGGACACAACCCAAAUGUCCAUUGACAGGUGAUUGGAUUAGCAAGAUAUGGUAUACAUACACAAUGGAAUACUACUCAGCCAUAAAAAAGAACGUCAUAAUGCCAUUUGCAGCAACAUGGGUGGAACUAGAGUCUCUCACACUUAGUGAAGUUAAGUCAGAAAGAGAAAGACAAAUGCCAUAUGAUAUCACUUAUAUCUGUAAUCUAAUAUAGAGCACAAAUGAACCUUUCCACAGAAAAGAAAAUCAUGGACUUGGAGAAUAGACUUGUGGUUGCCAAGAGGGAGGGGGAGGGAGUGUGGUGGAUGGGGAGCUUGGGGUUAAUAGAUGCAAACUAUGGACUUUGGACUGGAUGAGCAAUGAGAUCUUGCUGUGUAGCACUGGGAACUAUGUCUGGUCACUUAUGGAGCAUGACAAUGUGAGAAAAUAGAAUGUAUACAUGUAUAUGCAACUGGGUCACCAUGCUGUACAGUAGAAAAAAAAUAUAUUGGGGAAAUAAUU
Molecule: long non-coding RNA, 3549 nt
Filed under: Sus scrofa (pig)
Lineage: Eukaryota; Metazoa; Chordata; Mammalia; Artiodactyla; Suidae
Description: lncRNA (ENSSSCG00060069454.1)
Source: RNAcentral